UUGGCUUGUAUAAGUACCAAGAUUUACUCUGCGCAUAGCUAUUCUGGGACUAAACGCAUGCCUACACAAGUCCUCACAAAAGCCUUCUUCGAGUAUGAUCACAAUAUAAUCAUAUAAUUAGAUAGAUAGAAUAAUAAGCUAAUCUUUUAAAGAAAAACAAGCGAUUGGGAUGGAAAGUCAAUGAGAACCAAGAAAAACAAAAAACAAAUAGAUUUAGAAUCAAGAUUAAAUUCAAUGAGACAAUGACCUUAGGUUUGGAAAAAAAUAGAUGGGAAAUAAAUUAGAUAUCAGUUUCUGAUGGAGUUGCUCUAAAUUCUUGCGGUGAUGGAGACCGCAACAUCGAAGAGUGAAGACAGUAGAAGUGAGAACAAACUACAAAGAUAAAUGGUGGAGAGGAGGGUUUAGGAAUUUGGAGGCGGGAUAGUUUAGAAGUUG
This 435-nucleotide long non-coding RNA is filed under the name Phoenix dactylifera (date palm). RNAcentral describes it as "long non-coding RNA (PDAC_LNC004709)". Lineage: Eukaryota; Viridiplantae; Streptophyta; Magnoliopsida; Arecales; Arecaceae. The record is from RNAcentral.